This 495-nucleotide ribosomal RNA is filed under the name uncultured bacterium. Its description in RNAcentral is "bacterial SSU rRNA". It matches the Rfam family "Bacterial small subunit ribosomal RNA", at positions 30 to 518 of the family's 1533-position model. The record is from RNAcentral.
UGAACGCUAGCGACAGGCCUAACACAUGCAAGUCGAGGGGCAGCACAAGGAGCAAUCUGAGGUGGCGACCGGCGCACGGGUGAGUAACACGUAUGCGAACCUGCCUGUAAGCGGGGAAUAACCCGUUGAAAGACGGACUAAUACCGCAUAAUACUAAAUUACUGCAUGGUAAUUUAUUUAAACAUUUAUGGCUUACAGAUGGGCAUGCGCAUGAUUAGCUAGUUGGAGAGGUAACGGCUCCCCAAGGCAACGAUCAUUAGGGGUUCUGAGAGGAAGGUCCCCCACACUGGUACUGAGACACGGACCAGACUCCUACGGGAGGCAGCAGUGAGGAAUAUUGGUCAAUGGACGAGAGUCUGAACCAGCCAAGUCGCGUGCAGGAAGAAUGUCCUAAUGGAUUGUAAACUGCUUUUGCAGGGGAAUAAAGUGCAUCACGUGUGAUGUUUUGUAUGUACUCUGCGAAUAAGGAUCGGCUAACUCCGUGCCAGCAGCGGC